GAUGAACGCUGGCGGCGUGCCUAAUACAUGCAAGUCGAGCGAACAGACGAGGAGCUUGCUCCUCUGACGUUAGCGGCGGACGGGUGAGUAACACGUGGAUAACCGACCUAUAAGACUGGGAUAACUUCGGGAAACCUGAGCCAAUACCGGAUAAUAUAUUGAACGGCAGGGUUCAAUAGUGAAAAACGGUUUUGCUGUCACUUGUAGAUGGAUCCGUGCCGCAUUGGUUAGGUGGUAAGGUAACGGCUUACCAAGGCUACGAUGCGUAGCCGACCUGAGAGGGUGAUCGGCCACACUGGAAAUGAGACACGGUCCAGACUCCUACGGGAGGCAGCAGUAGGGAAGCUUCCGCAAUGGGCGAAAGCUUGACGGAGCAACGCCGCGUGAGUGAUGAAGGUCUUCGGAUCGUAAAACUCUGUUAUUAGGGAAGAACAAAUGUGUAAGUAACUAUGCACGUCUUGACGGUACCUAAUCAGAAAGCCACGGCUAACUACGUG
Molecule: ribosomal RNA, 497 nt
Filed under: uncultured bacterium
Lineage: Bacteria
Description: partial 16S ribosomal RNA
Rfam family: Bacterial small subunit ribosomal RNA
Source: RNAcentral